This 400-nucleotide ribosomal RNA is filed under the name uncultured bacterium. RNAcentral's name for it is "bacterial SSU rRNA". It matches the Rfam family "Bacterial small subunit ribosomal RNA", at positions 355 to 773 of the family's 1533-position model. The record is from RNAcentral.
UGGGGAAUCUUGCACAAUGGGGGCAACCCUGAUGCAGCGACGCCGCGUGAGCGAUGAAGCCCUUCGGGGCGUAAGCUCUUUCGACCGGAACGAUAAUGACGGUACCGGGAGAAGAAGCUGCGGCUAACUACGUGCCAGCAGCCGCGGUAAUACGUAGGCAGCAAGCGUUGUUCGGAGUUACUGGGCGUAAAGAGUGCGUAGGCGGUUUUCUAAGUUCGGUGUGAAAUCUCCCGGCUUAACUGGGAGGGUGCGCCGAAGACUGGGAAGCUGGAGUGUGGGAAAGGCAGGCGGAAUUCCUGGUGUAGCGGUGAAAUGCGUAGAUAUCAGGAGGAACACCGGCGGUGUAGACGGCUUGCUAGACCAUAACUGACGCUGAGGCACGAAAGCGUGGGUAGCAAAC